Molecule: ribosomal RNA, 478 nt
Filed under: uncultured bacterium
Lineage: Bacteria
Description: partial 16S ribosomal RNA
Rfam family: Bacterial small subunit ribosomal RNA
Source: RNAcentral
GACGAACGCUGGCGGCGUGCUUAACACAUGCAAGUCGAACGGUAAGGCCCUUCGGGGUACACGAGUGGCGAACGGGUGAGUAACACGUGGGUGAUCUGCCCUGCACUUCGGGAUAAGCCUGGGAAACUGGGUCUAAUACCGGAUAGGACCACUGCCCGCAUGGGUGGUGGUGGAAAGCUUUUGCGGAGUGGGAUGGGCCCGCGGCCUAUCAGCGUGUUGGUGGGGUGAUGGCCUACCAAGGGGACGACGGGUGGCCGGCCUGAGAGGGUGACCGGCCACCCUGGGACUGAGAUACGGCCCAGACUCCUACGGGAGGCAGCAGUGGGGAAUAUUGCACAAUGGGCGCAAGCCUGAUGCAGCGACGCCGCGUGAGGGAUGACGGCCUUCGGGUUGUAAACCUCUUUCAGCACCGACGAAGCGCAAGUGACGGUAGGUGCAGAAGAAGGACCGGCCAACUACGUGCCAGCAGCCGCAGUAA